UCCCCUCCAGAUUAUCGCACAUUAAUCCCCGCCAGAUUAGCACACAUUAAUCGCUUGCAAUGAGCUUUGUGUUGGUGCAAUUGUGAACAAGUUGGUUCUUACAGUUACAUGUGGUGGCAUUGCCCAAAGGCCCAUUUAAUCUAAUUUUUGCAGUCCUUCUGUUUAAUUUCUCUCUUUGCAACGGUACUGCAUAUCUACCCUUAAUUUGUGGCCAUGCUUAUUU
Non-coding RNA from Pelobates cultripes (western spadefoot toad), 223 nucleotides. The record is from the annotation of a GenBank genome assembly. NCBI's taxonomy places the organism in Eukaryota, Metazoa, Chordata, Amphibia, Anura, Pelobatidae.